CUGCGGAAGGAUCAUUACAGUGGUGAUCGCCCCUUCGGGGUGCGGCCGCCCGAGAUAGAACCCUUUGCCNUUUAGAGUNCCAUUCGUUUCCUCGGCAGGCUCGCCUGUCAAUGGGGACACCAACCAAACCUUUUGAUAAAGCAGUAAACGUCUAUAUACCAAUAUAUCAAAACUUUCAACAACGGAUCUCUUGGUUCUGGCAUCGAUGAAGAACGCAGCGAAAUGCGAUAAGUAGUGUGAAUUGCAGAUUUCAGUGAAUCAUCGAAUUUUUGAACGCACAUUGCGCCCUUUGGCAUUCCUUAGGGCAUGCCUGUUCGAGCGUCAUCUAAACCCUCAAGCAUAGCUUGGUGUUGGGCGUUUGUCGCGCCUCGGGCGCGGACUCGCCUCAAAAGCAUUGGCGGCCUGUGUGAACGGCUUCGAGCGCAGCAGAUGCGAGCCUCGAUACCCACGCGCCGGCGUCCAGCAAGCCAACCCAUCAUUUUGACCUCGGAUCAGGUAGGGAUACCCGCUGAACUUAAGCAUAUCAAUAAGCGGAGGA
Molecule: ribosomal RNA, 538 nt
Filed under: uncultured Berkleasmium
Lineage: Eukaryota; Fungi; Ascomycota
Description: eukaryotic LSU rRNA
Rfam family: 5.8S ribosomal RNA (bases 171-324)
Source: RNAcentral